CCUCGGGGCUGUAACAUAAGCGGCUGCGGACUUGUACAAACAGCCUCAGCACCCCCUGGGAGCUCGAGACAUCUAAGGAGUUGACUGAGGCCCCUCCCUGACAUACUGAAGCGGAAUCUGCAUUUUAGCAAGAUCUGCAGGCAUGUGUGGGCCAUUGCAGCCUGAAUUAAUCAGGAGGGAAGAAGAAGUGCGACGAUAACUGGCCAGUGAUACACAGUGGGAGGUCUGGAAGAAUGCACACCCAAUGCUCACAGAGGUUCCAUCUGGGAAAUCGGAUUGGACAGGGCCAGAAUAGAUCCGGGGAAACAUUCACUGAAUAUAUAUACUUAUGUAUUGUGGAAGCUUUGAUGGUGGUCAUGUACCCAAGAAGGGAAAAAACAGACUGCGGAACUGCCCAUGAGGCCAAGCACCUAUUAGUAGACCAAGAAGCAUCACCCAUCCAUGGCCUAAGUCGGCAGCCAGCUAUUGUUCUCAUCUGAGUCUGGGAGUUCAGGAUUUCCAUCCUGACCCGGCUACUUUCUUUCAACAGUUACCCACUGUAAAUUUCCGAAUACUUUCAGCUACUAAUCCCAGUGUACCCAAUUAAAAAUGGCUUUCCUAA
Molecule: long non-coding RNA, 601 nt
Filed under: Homo sapiens (human)
Lineage: Eukaryota; Metazoa; Chordata; Mammalia; Primates; Hominidae
Description: NSMCE1 divergent transcript
Source: RNAcentral